AGUGAACGCUGGCGGUAGGCCUAACACAUGCAAGUCGAACGGCAGCACAGUAAGAGCUUGCUCUUACGGGUGGCGAGUGGCGGACGGGUGAGGAAUACAUCGGAAUCUACUUUUUCGUGGGGGAUAACGUAGGGAAACUUACGCUAAUACCGCAUACGACCUACGGGUGAAAGCAGGGGAUCUUCGGACCUUGCGCGAUUGAAUGAGCCGAUGUCGGAUUAGCUAGUUGGCGGGGUAAAGGCCCACCAAGGCGACGAUCCGUAGCUGGUCUGAGAGGAUGAGUAGCCAGAGUGGAACUGAGACACGGUCCAGACGACUACGGGAGGCAGCAGUGGGGAAUAGUGGAAAAUGGGCGCAAGCCUGAUCCAGCCAUAUCGCGUGGGUGAAGAAGGCCUUCGGGUUGUAAAGCCCUUUUGUUGGGAAAGAAAAGCAGCAGGUUAAUACCCCGCUGUUCUGACGGUACCCAAAGAAUAAGCACCGGCUAACUUCGUG
This 492-nucleotide ribosomal RNA is filed under the name uncultured bacterium. RNAcentral describes it as "partial 16S ribosomal RNA". It matches the Rfam family "Bacterial small subunit ribosomal RNA", at positions 29 to 507 of the family's 1533-position model. The record is from RNAcentral.